GUGGGGAAUCUUGCGCAAUGGGCGAAAGCCUGACGCAGCCAUGCCGCGUGAAUGAUGAAGGUCUUAGGAUUGUAAAAUUCUUUCACCGGGGACGAUAAUGACGGUACCCGGAGAAGAAGCCCCGGCUAACUUCGUGCCAGCAGCCGCGGUAAUACGAAGGGGGCUAGCGUUGCUCGGAAUUACUGGGCGUAAAGGGCGCGUAGGCGGACAGUUUAGUCAGAGGUGAAAGCCCAGGGCUCAACCUUGGAAUUGCCUUUGAUACUGGCUGUCUUGAGUACGGGAGAGGUGAGUGGAACUCCGAGUGUAGAGGUGAAAUUCGUAGAUAUUCGGAGGAACACCAGUGGCGAAGGCGGCUCACUGGCUCGAUACUGACGCUGAGGUGCGAAAGCGUGGGGAGCAAACAGGAUUAGAUACCCCGGUAGUCC
This 425-nucleotide ribosomal RNA is filed under the name uncultured bacterium. Its description in RNAcentral is "partial 16S ribosomal RNA". It matches the Rfam family "Bacterial small subunit ribosomal RNA", at positions 354 to 796 of the family's 1533-position model. The record is from RNAcentral.